RNAcentral lists this ribosomal RNA (583 nucleotides) under Staphylococcus aureus. RNAcentral describes it as "bacterial SSU rRNA". It matches the Rfam family "Bacterial small subunit ribosomal RNA", at positions 53 to 618 of the family's 1533-position model. The record is from RNAcentral. Lineage: Bacteria; Bacillati; Bacillota; Bacilli; Caryophanales; Staphylococcaceae.
ACAUGCAAGUCGAGCGAACGGACGAGAAGCUUGCUUCUCUGAUGUUAGCGGCGGACGGGUGAGUAACACGUGGAUAACCUACCUAUAAGACUGGGAUAACUUCGGGAAACCGGAGCUAAUACCGGAUAAUAUUUUGAACCGCAUGGUUCAAAAGUGAAAGACGGUCUUGCUGUCACUUAUAGAUGGAUCCGCGCUGCAUUAGCUAGUUGGUAAGGUAACGGCUUACCAAGGCAACGAUGCAUAGCCGACCUGAGAGGGUGAUCGGCCACACUGGAACUGAGACACGGUCCAGACUCCUACGGGAGGCAGCAGUAGGGAAUCUUCCGCAAUGGGCGAAAGCCUGACGGAGCAACGCCGCGUGAGUGAUGAAGGUCUUCGGAUCGUAAAACUCUGUUAUUAGGGAAGAACAUAUGUGUAAGUAACUGUGCACAUCUUGACGGUACCUAAUCAGAAAGCCACGGCUAACUACGUGCCAGCAGCCGCGGUAAUACGUAGGUGGCAAGCGUUAUCCGGAAUUAUUGGGCGUAAAGCGCGCGUAGGCGGUUUUUUAAGUCUGAUGUGAAAGCCCACGGCUCAACCGUGG